RNAcentral lists this ribosomal RNA (217 nucleotides) under uncultured bacterium. RNAcentral describes it as "partial 16S ribosomal RNA". It matches the Rfam family "Bacterial small subunit ribosomal RNA", at positions 118 to 351 of the family's 1533-position model. The record is from RNAcentral.
UGGGAACGUGCCCUUUGGUUCGGAACAACUCCGGGAAACUGGAGCUAAUGCCGGAUACGCCCUUCGGGGGAAAGAUUUAUCGCCAAAGGAUCGGCCCGCGUCUGAUCAGCUAGUUGGUGUGGGUAAUGGCCCACCAAGGCGAUGACGGGUAGCCGGCCUGAGAGGGUGACCGGCCACACUGGGACUGAGACACGGCCCCGACUCCUACGGGAGGCAG